This 264-nucleotide ribosomal RNA is filed under the name uncultured Staphylococcus sp. RNAcentral's name for it is "partial 16S ribosomal RNA". It matches the Rfam family "Bacterial small subunit ribosomal RNA", at positions 98 to 354 of the family's 1533-position model. The record is from RNAcentral. Lineage: Bacteria; Bacillati; Bacillota; Bacilli; Caryophanales; Staphylococcaceae.
CGGGACGGGUGAGUAACACGUGGAUAACCUACCUAUAAGACUGGGAUAACUUCGGGAAACCGGAGCUAAUACCGGAUAAUAUAUUGAACCGCAUGGUUCGAUAGUGAAAGACGGUUUUGCUGUCACUUAUAGAUGGAUCCGCGCCGCAUUAGCUAGUUGGUAAGGUAACGGCUUACCAAGGCAACGAUGCGUAGCCGACCUGAGAGGGUGAUCGGCCACACUGGAACUGAGACACGGUCCAGACUCCUACGGGAGGCAGCAGGC